Long non-coding RNA from Lontra canadensis (Northern American river otter), 244 nucleotides. RefSeq lists it as uncharacterized. NCBI's taxonomy places the organism in Eukaryota, Metazoa, Chordata, Mammalia, Carnivora, Mustelidae. The transcript has 3 exons. The record is from RefSeq and is a predicted model, not a curated record.
GGGGUGGGGAAGUAGAUAGGGUAGGCUAGAAUGGUUGGGCAGGUUGGACACUGCACAAGGGGGCACAGAGUGAGCUCAAGCCAUGCUGGAAAAGAAACCUGGCACCACUCCUCUUGCUUCUGGGAUCAAAGACGGUCUGGCUCCAGCCUCCUCUGGACCCCAGGCUUGGCCUCCCCCCACCUCCAUCACUCCCAUCAUCUGAUGGAUUCUGGAACCUCUGGGAGCUUAGAAAGAAGAAAGAUCA